UACGGGGGGGGCAAGCGUUGUUCGGAAUUACUGGGCGUAAAGGGCUCGUAGGCGGCCAACUAAGUCAGACGUGAAAUCACUCGGCUUAACCGGGGAACUGCGUCUGAUACUGGAUGGCUUGAGGUUGGGAGAGGGAUGCGGAAUUCCAGGUGUAGCGGUGAAAUGCGUAGAUAUCUGGAGGAACACCGGUGGCGAAGGCGGCAUCCUGGACCAAUACUGACACUGAGGAGCGAAAGCCAGGGGAGCAAACGGG
RNAcentral lists this ribosomal RNA (253 nucleotides) under uncultured bacterium. RNAcentral's name for it is "partial 16S ribosomal RNA". It matches the Rfam family "Bacterial small subunit ribosomal RNA", at positions 524 to 776 of the family's 1533-position model. The record is from RNAcentral.